This 267-nucleotide ribosomal RNA is filed under the name uncultured bacterium. RNAcentral's name for it is "partial 16S ribosomal RNA". It matches the Rfam family "Bacterial small subunit ribosomal RNA", at positions 73 to 339 of the family's 1533-position model. The record is from RNAcentral.
AGGUCUUUCGGGAUGCUGACGAGUGGCGAACGGGUGAGUAAUACAUCGGAACGUGCCUAGUAGGUGGGGGAUAACUACUCGAAAGAGUGGCUAACACCGCAUGAGAUCUAUGGAUGAAGGCAGGGGACCUUCGGGCCUUGUGCUACUAGAGCGGCCGAUGGCAGAUUAGGUAGUUGGUGGGAAUAAAAGCUUACCAAGCCUACGAUCUGUAGCUGGUCUGAGAGGACGAUCAGCCACACGUGGGACUGAGACACCGGCCCAGACUCC